Pelobates fuscus (common spadefoot toad) is the source of this 139-nucleotide non-coding RNA. RefSeq annotates it as small Cajal body-specific RNA 11. The record is from RefSeq and is a predicted model, not a curated record. The transcript has a single exon. Lineage: Eukaryota; Metazoa; Chordata; Amphibia; Anura; Pelobatidae.
UGUCCCCCCCUCAUUAUUUUCAUGGCCCCCACCCACUGCGCAGGGGUGGGGGCCAGGGGGGGAGGACAGUAGGUCCCACCUCCUAAUUUCCAUGGCCCCCACCCACUGUGGAGGGGUGGGGGCCAGGAGGGAGGACAGU